This is a small nuclear RNA of Bombus pyrosoma, 107 nucleotides long. The record is from RefSeq and is a predicted model, not a curated record. NCBI's taxonomy places the organism in Eukaryota, Metazoa, Arthropoda, Insecta, Hymenoptera, Apidae.
UUUUAGUAUGGAAGGAGAGACCUUUAGCACUCCCCUAGACAAGGAUGGAAUACAUAUAUAAAUGUUAAGGUACUGUCGCAUUUGGGCGACAUUUACCAUAUUUUUUU